UCGGGAAUUUUGGGCAAUGGGCGAAAGCCUGACCCAGCAACGCCGCGUGAAGGAUGAAGUAUUUCGGUAUGUAAACUUCGAAAGAAUAGGAAGAAUAAAUGACGGUACUAUUUAUAAGGUCCGGCUAACUACGUGCCAGCAGCCGCGGUAAUACGUAGGGACCAAGCGUUGUUCGGAUUUACUGGGCGUAAAGGGCGCGUAGGCGGCAAUUCAAGUCAUCUGUGAAAUCUCCGGGCUUAACUCGGAACGGCCAAGUGAUACUGUCGCGCUAGAGUGCAGAAGGGGCAAUCGGAAUUCUUGGUGUAGCGGUGAAAUGCGUAGAUAUCAAGAGGAACACCUGAGGUGAAGACGGGUUGCUGGGCUGACACUGACGCUGAGGCGCGAAAGCCAGGGGAGCAAACGGGGAUUAGAUACCCUAGUAGUCCCUGAGCGGGCUGGCAAGGCGCAU
RNAcentral lists this ribosomal RNA (448 nucleotides) under uncultured bacterium. Its description in RNAcentral is "bacterial SSU rRNA". It matches the Rfam family "Bacterial small subunit ribosomal RNA", at positions 355 to 825 of the family's 1533-position model. The record is from RNAcentral.